This 504-nucleotide ribosomal RNA is filed under the name uncultured low G+C Gram-positive bacterium. Its description in RNAcentral is "bacterial SSU rRNA". It matches the Rfam family "Bacterial small subunit ribosomal RNA", at positions 387 to 877 of the family's 1533-position model. Lineage: Bacteria; Bacillati; Bacillota. The record is from RNAcentral.
CCGAGCAACGCCGCGUGAGUGAAGAAGGUUUUCGGAUCGUAAAACUCUGUUGUUCGAGAAGAACAAGGACGUUAGUAACUGAACGUCCCCUGACGGUAUCUAACCAGAAAGCCACGGCUAACUACGUGCCAGCAGCCGCGGUAAUACGUAGGUGGCAAGCGUUGUCCGGAUUUAUUGGGCGUAAAGCGAGCGCAGGCGGUUUCUUAAGUCUGAUAUGAAAGCCCCCGGCUCAACCGGGGAGGGUCAUUGGAAACUGGGAGACUUGAGUGCAGAAGAGGAGAGUGGAAUUCCAUGUGUAGCGGUGAAAUGCGUAGAUAUAUGGAGGAACACCAGUGGCGAAGGCGGCUCUCUGGUCUGUAACUGACGCUGAGGCUCGAAAGCGUGGGGAGCAAACAGGAUUAGAUACCCCUGGUAGUCCAACGCCCGUAGAACGUAUGAGUGCUAAGUGUUGGAGGGUUUCCGCCCUUCAGUGCUGCAGCAAACGCAGUAAGCACUCCGCCUGGG